GUGCAUGCGAUCGAUGUUCAAGCGACUGUUCGGUCGUGCGUGACUGCGGCGGCGGUCCCUAAGCUCUCUCGCGGUUGAAGCCAGAGGGAAGACGGGCGCCACGCGCCGCGUGAAGGGGCCGGUGGCCGCCGGUCCCUUCACAGC
Molecule: non-coding RNA, 144 nt
Filed under: Caulobacter vibrioides NA1000
Lineage: Bacteria; Pseudomonadati; Pseudomonadota; Alphaproteobacteria; Caulobacterales; Caulobacteraceae
Source: RNAcentral